This 484-nucleotide ribosomal RNA is filed under the name uncultured bacterium. RNAcentral's name for it is "partial 16S ribosomal RNA". It matches the Rfam family "Bacterial small subunit ribosomal RNA", at positions 30 to 507 of the family's 1533-position model. The record is from RNAcentral.
AUUGAACGCUGGCGGCAGGCCUAACACAUGCAAGUCGAGCGGAUGAAGGGAGCUUGCUCCUGGAUUCAGCGGCGGACGGGUGAGUAAUGCCUAGGAAUCUGCCUGGUAGUGGGGGAUAACGUCCGGAAACGGGCGCUAAUACCGCAUACGUCCUGAGGGAGAAAGUGGGGGAUCUUCGGACCUCACGCUAUCAGAUGAGUCUAGGUCGGAUUAGCUAGUUGGUGGGGUAAAGGCCUACCAAGGCGACGAUCCGUAACUGGUCUGAGAGGAUGAUCAGUCACAUUAGAACUGAGACACGGUCCAGACUCCUACGGGAGGCAGCAGUGGGGAAUAUUGGACAAUGGGCGAAAGCCUGAUCCAGCCAGGCCGCGUGUGUGAAGAAGGUCUUCGGAUUGUAAAGCACUUUAAGUUGGGAGGAAGGGCAGUAAGUUAAUACCUUGCUGUUUUGACGUUACCAACAGAAUAAGCACCGGCUAACUACGUG